CCUACGGGAGGCAGCAGUUAGGAAUUUUGCACAAUGGACGAAAGUCUGAUGCAGCAACGCCGCGUGAGUGAUGAAGGCCUUCGGGUUGUAAAGCUCUUUUAGCAGGGACGAAAAAAAUGACGGUACCUGCAGAAAAAGCACCGGCUAACUCUGUGCCAGCAGCCGC
RNAcentral lists this ribosomal RNA (166 nucleotides) under uncultured Actinomycetes bacterium. RNAcentral's name for it is "uncultured actinobacterium partial 16S ribosomal RNA". It matches the Rfam family "Bacterial small subunit ribosomal RNA", at positions 338 to 518 of the family's 1533-position model. Lineage: Bacteria; Bacillati; Actinomycetota; Actinomycetes. The record is from RNAcentral.